This 465-nucleotide ribosomal RNA is filed under the name Vreelandella stevensii. RNAcentral describes it as "partial 16S ribosomal RNA". It matches the Rfam family "Bacterial small subunit ribosomal RNA", at positions 338 to 795 of the family's 1533-position model. The record is from RNAcentral. Lineage: Bacteria; Pseudomonadati; Pseudomonadota; Gammaproteobacteria; Oceanospirillales; Halomonadaceae.
CCUACGGGUGGCAGCAGUGGGGAAUAUUGGACAAUGGGGGGAACCCUGAUCCAGCCAUGCCGCGUGUGUGAAGAAGGCCCUCGGGUUGUAAAGCACUUUCAGUGAGGAAGAACGCCUGGUGGUUAAUACCCAUCAGGAAAGACAUCACUCACAGAAGAAGCACCGGCUAACUCCGUGCCAGCAGCCGCGGUAAUACGGAGGGUGCGAGCGUUAAUCGGAAUUACUGGGCGUAAAGCGCGCGUAGGUGGCUUGAUAAGCCGGUUGUGAAAGCCCCGGGCUCAACCUGGGAACGGCAUCCGGAACUGUCAAGCUAGAGUGCAGGAGAGGAAAGUAGAAUUCCCGGUGUAGCGGUGAAAUGCGUAGAGAUAGGGAGGAAUACCAGUGGCGAAGGCGGCCUUCUGGACUGACACUGACACUGAGGUGCGAAAGCGUGGGUAGCAAACAGGAUUAGAUACCCUAGUAGUC